CUAAAAGGAUUCUCUUAGUAAUGGCGAAUGAACAGGGAUGAGCUCAGCAUGGAAAUUGGGGUGUGCGGCUUUGAAUUGUAAUAUUGAGAUGUACUGCCAGCGGAGGCGCAGAUGCAAGCCUUUUGGAAUGGAGCACCAACGAGGGUGAGAGUCCUCUUUGGCAUUUGCAGUCCCCCGCGCACAGUGUACGUUCUACGAGUCGCGUUCCUUGGGACUGGAGCGCUAAAUGGGUGGUAAAUUUCAUCUAAAGCUAAACACGUGUCUGAUACUGAUAGUGAACAAGUACCAUGAGGGAAAGGUGAAAAGGACUUUGAAAAGAGAGUUAAACGUGCCUGAAAUUGCUGAGAGGGAAACGGAUGGAACUAGUGCUUACUACUGGCGAGAUUGCCGCAUGCUAUAAUGAUUGUUUGCUUCGCCAGCGCAAGCAGUUCGGCGAGUUUUGAUUCGCAAGCAUGUUGUGUUCUUGCGUCGUGUGCCACUGUGGGUUCACGCAUUAAGAAAACUUGGAGCACAUGGUACGAUAUUUCUGAAUGCAUGAAUGUGAAGUGCUUUAUUUCUGCACGAAUUUGAUGUGGGUGUCGGGUUGUAAUGCUCUUGUGUCCUCGGUCGCCCUGCGUGGGGUAAUUCCCUAUUAGGCGGCGGGGUGCGCAAGGUAUGGCUCGACAUUAGACAGGGCAAAAUGU
RNAcentral lists this ribosomal RNA (683 nucleotides) under Amphisolenia clavipes. Its description in RNAcentral is "LSU rRNA". It matches the Rfam family "Eukaryotic large subunit ribosomal RNA", at positions 65 to 610 of the family's 3401-position model. The record is from RNAcentral. Lineage: Eukaryota; Dinophyceae; Dinophysales; Amphisoleniaceae.